UACGUAGGAUGCAAGCGUUAUCCGGAUUUAUUGGGUUUAAAGGGUGCGUAGGCGGAAUGAUAAGUCAGUGGUGAAAUCCUACGGCUUAACUGUAGAACAGCCUCUGAUACUGCCAUUCUUGAGUAUAUUUGAUGUGGGCGGAAUGUGUUAUGUAGCGGUGAAAUGCUUAGAUAUGACACAGAACACCGAUCGCGAAGGCAGCUCACAAAACUAUAACUGACGCUGAGGCACGAAAGCGUGGGGAG
RNAcentral lists this ribosomal RNA (245 nucleotides) under uncultured bacterium. RNAcentral's name for it is "partial 16S ribosomal RNA". It matches the Rfam family "Bacterial small subunit ribosomal RNA", at positions 524 to 768 of the family's 1533-position model. The record is from RNAcentral.